AGAGAUCAUGGCUCAGAAUGAACGCUGGCGGCAUGCCUAACACAUGCAAGUCGAACGAAGCCUUCGGGCUUAGUGGCGCACGGGUGCGUAACGCGUGGGAAUCUGCCUUGGGGUUCGGAAUAACUCCCCGAAAGGGGUGCUAAUACCGGAUGAUGUCUACGGACCAAAGAUUUAUCGCCCUGAGAUGAGCCCGCGUAAGAUUAGCUAGUUGGUGGGGUAAAGGCCUACCAAGGCGACGAUCUUUAGCUGGUCUGAGAGGAUGAUCAGCCACACUGGGACUGAGACACGGCCCAGACUCCUACGGGAGGCAGCAGUGGGGAAUAUUGGACAAUGGGCGAAAGCCUGAUCCAGCAAUGCCGCGUGAGUGAUGAAGGCCUUAGGGUUGUAAAGCUCUUUUACCCGGGAUGAUAAUGACAGUACCGGGAGAAUAAGCUCCGGCUAACUCCGUGCCAGCAGCCGCGGUAAUACGGAGGGAGCUAGCGUUAUUCGGAAUUACUGGGCGUAAAGCGCACGUAGGCGGCUUUGUAAGUCAGAGGUGAAAGCCUGGAGCUCAACUCCAGAACUGCCUUUGAGACUGCAUCGCUUGAAUCCAGGAGAGGUGAGUGGAAUUCCGAGUGUAGAGGUGAAAUUCGUAGAUAUUCAGAAGAACACCAGUGGCGAAGGCGGCUCACUGGACUGGUAUUGACGCUGAGGUGCGAAAGCGUGGGGAGCAAACAUGAUUAGAUACUCUGGUAGUCCACGCCGCAAACGAUGAUAACUAGCUGUCUGGGCACUUGGUGUCCAGGUGGCGCACCC
RNAcentral lists this ribosomal RNA (795 nucleotides) under uncultured Bacteroidota bacterium. RNAcentral describes it as "bacterial SSU rRNA". It matches the Rfam family "Bacterial small subunit ribosomal RNA", at positions 8 to 853 of the family's 1533-position model. The record is from RNAcentral. Lineage: Bacteria; Pseudomonadati; Bacteroidota.